RNAcentral lists this ribosomal RNA (258 nucleotides) under uncultured bacterium. Its description in RNAcentral is "partial 16S ribosomal RNA". It matches the Rfam family "Bacterial small subunit ribosomal RNA", at positions 524 to 777 of the family's 1533-position model. The record is from RNAcentral.
UACGGAGGGAGCUAGCGUUGUUCGGAAUUACUGGGCGUAAAGCGCACGUAGGCGGCUUUGUAAGUUAGAGGUGAAAGCCCGGGGCUCAACCCCGGAAUUGCCUUUAAGACUGCAUCGCUUGAAUCCAGGAGAGGUGAGUGGAAUUCCGGAGUGGUAGAGGUGAAAUUCGUAGAUAUUCGGAAGAACACCAGUGGCGAAGGACGGCUGCACUGGACUGGUAUUGACGCUGAGGUGCGAAAGCGUGGGGAGCAAACAGGG